This is a non-coding RNA of Bos taurus (domestic cattle), 72 nucleotides long. The record is from Rfam. NCBI's taxonomy places the organism in Eukaryota, Metazoa, Chordata, Mammalia, Artiodactyla, Bovidae.
UCCCUGAUGGCUCAAAUGGUAAAGAAUCUGCCUGCAAUGCAGAAGACCCAGAUUUGAUCCCUGGGUUGGGAA